AAAACUUUGUGCUGAUUGUCCUUUUUCCAAUAUUCAAAAUUGAGUGCUGCUAUUAUGUUUGUCUUUAUUCAAAUUCAUUCAAAUACUUUCAAAUUAAUUAAAAAAUGUCCACAUGCUUGACAAACGAAAUCAUUGAAUUGACUUCAUAGCAGGGUUUGGAACCGGUUCGGGGAACAGAACAGAAAAUCGCAAAAGAACGUAAUUUUUCAUGGAACAGAACCAUAACCGAGAAGAAAAGAACAUUAUUUUACGCUCCGGGGCAUUUUUUUCCAGUCCCAUAUAAAACACGCCUAUGCAAAGCCCUCACUUUGCCACUCAGAAACUUAUUCCAGUGUCUUUGCCAGUGUCUGUGAGUGUGUAUACUACCUUCCCCCCUCCCUCGGAAGAAUAGUCUACUGUAGCUACUGACGUUACAAGCAUGAUUCAGAACUUAGGGAGAGAUUUUUUAUUCGAGAAGAAUGAAUGAACUUUUUCAAUGCUAGCUACGAAUAACGUAAACUCACGUAAAAUCAUACAUCGCCUUGGUCCGUACAAUUGCUCUUAUUUUAGCGCCCCAAAAACGUAAUAUUUCCAGAUCAACUGUAAUGUCAAUACCAUUGUAAAGCACAAUUUCUCUCCUUUCCAACAAAAUCGAUUACAUGACCUAAACACUGCCCGUUUCUGCAUAAUUCAAGCAGGCAAUGAGCCAUGUCGGGUCUUUUUAAAAAUGGCGGGUGGGGAAGCGAAACUAAUGCGUGCUAGUGAGAAGGACAGAUGUCGUGUGGGAAAAUUGCUUUUUUCACUCGAUCUGUCCAACUUAUCACCUUAUCGCCUCUAAAAUGUAAAUAAAACACUAUAAAGAGUUUAUAUAAUGUGUCAUUACAUACCUAUUUGAAGGUUUGUGUCGAAUUUGAAUCGGGUUUUUAGGGUGGUGCUAAAGUGAUCUUAGAAGUAAACAGCGGCUUUGAGAAUGAUGAUCGCAUGCAAUGAUGACGAAAAAAAUGACUAGGUAUCCCCCCUUACCCCCGUCACUGUUUAUUUCUUGUUUUUAAACGAUGAGAGAAGUGCUACACCUGGUGGAGAGAGAUUGUAAGACAGAAAUAGUUGCUUUAUGCAACUACGUUACGACAUGACACGUCAAGAUGUAACGGAGGGUCCAUUUUUUUCAACUUUUCUCCAAUACUAUAGAGCCAUUACCAUGUCGAUCAACGCUUGAAUAGAAACCUAGUUCACACUCCCGAUUUUGAAGUCAACACAGUCGCUACAGUCCCAUUCGUUUUCUUUGUAGCCUCGUUUGAAUGUCGCGGUUACGCACAUUUGUACGGAAUGGGGUGAGUUUGCGUUACUAUAGUUAUUAAGUUUUACAUUCGAUUUAUUAACUACAAAAAGGUAAGACAUGUUUUUAUUUACAUUUUGGUGCCGCUCUGCACGCACAAGCUUGUUAACAAGCUAGCUCUGGUCUAUAGCUCUCAAGCUCUAGGUGGCAUUAUGUGUAAUAUAAUGGAACUGAGAGUCAUGAUCAAAGGCCAGCUUUGGUCCAACGUUAGUGAAGCCAACUCUCUGAAGUUCAGACAUUCAAAGUUCCUUCAUAGAAGCCGCUCCUUUGUAGGUAUAAUUCUGUGAGCCUAAUUCAGAUAAUGCACCUCAUAACAACAAGAUGCCCAGAGCACUCUCCUCACCCACAACAUUUCUGUUGCAUCUCGCUCCCUACUCUAGACUUGUCUGUCCAAUGCAUGUACAAACUCUGCGAUUUAAAAAGGAACGAUAUAAAACAUUCCUAAUUUUUGGUUCGAACCUGUUCAGAACUUUAUUUUGCAGGUCUGUUCAGAACAAAAUGAUUGGAAAAUAAUUUUGGUUCCAACCUCUGCUUUAUAGUGGUAGCCAUGUAAUAGACGACAGCAUGCCACAAAAACAGAACAGCUAUUAUGGCCUUCCCCAAGUUUGUUCUCCUUUGUUUAUUUCAAAUGAAUACCAACAUUUCCUGUUCGCUUUUCCAUUUUUUCUCAAUCAGGUUGAGAUAGGAGACGUGCCUGAUGUGGACGGUCCACAAGGAACGGACUUCAUGUCUGCUAGAGUAACAUCAAAUUCAACCCCUCAAAGAGAUUCACACCCUGAGUUUGCAGCUGACUAGUCCUCACCGGACAGCGGCAGGCACAAAGCCUUUAACCUCUGGCGUGAACGUUGCCCUGGCACCCUUAUGGACACUGCAUCAAGUAAUGCUGGUAUUUUGCUGACAUGAUGUACUAGCUAUUUAUGGAGAACUUGCAAGUUUUCAGUUGGGCCUACAUACAUAUUUUCAAAUAGUCCCUCUACAACUGCAGGGGAGGGUGCACGCAGAACAAAGCAACAGUUUCCUGUGAGUAUAUGUAUCUGUAGUCCUGCGUUUUCAGUUUAUUUUGUUGAUAUACCGUGACCUGUUGGUUACACUCGAGACCUAUCAACUUCAAUUUUCAGGACAGAAAAAUGUAAUUGUCCCCCAUGAUGAAAUUGGGUAGGGGACUAUGGAUCUGACUCCGUCCGUCUGUUGAUUGUUAGUACGUACGUCACACGCAAUAUUUCGGACACUAAUGGCCUGAUUUUGAACAAACUUUAAUGAAUGAUCCGUCUUUCCAUGGAGAUCCAGCGUUGGUUGGCCCAAGGGGGGUGCUGCAUCAUUUGUGCAGGAUGACAUAUUUACUGUUGCAUUUUUGUCAAAUGUAUCAUUUUUUUCAAUCAGGAUGAGAAACAGGAAGAAGGCCAAAUGGACACAACAGAGCAUACAUUGAUGGAAAAUAGUAUGGUCUUUGCUGAGGCUGCCAGUGAUCCUGCUGAUUCCAGUUUUGUGUCUUUCACCAGCCCCGCCGUCUCCAGCAAGGGAUCAACCUCUGACAGUGUGCCAGAAGAAACUGGAGGAUGGAGCGAAAGGAAAUGGAUUGCGAAUGAGUCUAAACUCAUGGAGCUUUUCCUAACAUGUCACCAAUGUGGAGCUGUCUUGACUGAUAGAAGAUGAACCACUUUGGGCAGCAAAAUCGAAGUAACAUGGAGUUGUUACAGUAGACACAGCAUGCAUGCGGAAUGGCAAGAAAUAACUUGCUUAUGCUGUACAUGGAUCCAUUCUUUUCACUGGUUCGACAUACAUGGAAUGUGCUGAUUGGGCCACACCGCUGAACCUUCAGAUGCCCAAUACAACAGCCUUCUAGGAAAUACAGAUAACAUGCUUCCAGUUAUUGAGCAUGCAUACCACGACUAGCAGACCACAGUCUCUCCGAGGCUGAUUGUAAAUGUGUGGUGAUGGACAGUCCUUGGUUCAGGUAAGAAUGUGGAAAUGUUCAGCCAAUGAAUUUUACUAGGUGGGCUACAUAACAGGCAGUACUAAUCAUCAAUUGUUUUUAUCCCCUAAGGCAGUGUUACUCACUAUUGUUUUGUAAGGGGGCCACUUUGGGUUGAGACAAUCAUUCAGAGGGCCGCACAGAUCUUUAAUUUGUUUUACUUUUACUUCCAAUAUUAGCAGAGCAAUAGAGCACACACAAUUGGCCCAGUGUCGUCCGAGUUUGGCCGGGGUAGGCCUUCAUUGUAAAUAAUAAUUUGUUCUUAACUGAAUUGCCUAGUUAAAUAAAGAAUAAAAUAAUCAGUAAACAAUUUUUUUUUUGCUGAAUUCAUUCUAAAUGUAUAGUAUGUUGUUGCAAUCCUUGUGAGGCAAUCCAGGUUUUGUUCAUUGUUGAAAAUGUUGCUUCACAUGAAUAAGUGCUGACAAAAAAUGAUGUCACCUUUUGCACACACUGCUUCAGAAGUGGAUACUCUGUUUCUGACAAAGGCUCUAGAAAUGGGUAACACCUGAUCUUAGUUCACCUUGCGAUGUGUAAUUUGCCUGCAGCUCCACUAUCUCUCUAUUCCAGCACGGUCAGGACAGAGGGCUGUGAUGACUGGGCUGUGAUGAUUGCCGGGGAUUCAAUGCCCUCGCAAUAAUAAUGUUCACCACAUGCACGACUUGCUGCAUCACAUUCUGUAAGUCAGUCUUUGAGUUUAGCCACAAGUGCUUCUUGAUGAAUGACACAAUGAAACGUAACAAAGGGAAUAUCCUCUCUCUUUCUCAUCAGGCCUUUGAGUCCCUUCUCCUUCCCUCACAUGUUUGGGGCGCUGUCAGUGCAAACAGAUUCCAGAUUUGACCAGUCAGUAUUAUUAUCAGUAAAAACAUGUAACAAGGGCUUUCAGAAUAUCCUCUCCUCAUGUUUGUCCCUGAAGGGGCAGUAAACAUAAAAGUUCCUCUCUGAACGACACGUUUUGCGUGAAGUGCACCCAAACACAUAAUUGGGCAAUGCCAGUUACAUCAGUGCCUUCGUCAAGCGCAAUACUAAAACACUGCACCAUGGAUAUGUUAGUAAUCAGUUGCUUACCGAUAUCCUCACUGAUGUCUUCUAUGUGUCUUGUUAUGGUAGAGUCUGUGAUUUGCAGUCCCUUUAUUUGCUUUAAAAUAGCUACCUUGGUUGUGAAAUCAGCAAACAAUAUUUUGUCUGAGGCCAAAAAACACUAUUUGACAAUCUCCAUGUCUGUGAAGGCCGCCUUGUUUCUCGUGAGUCUCAUAUGUUGCCUCUGUCGUUAUUUCGGACAACAGUGCUAGUUCUGUCCAUUAUUUGUUGUUGUCCUUUGCGCUGUCCUUUGAGUUGCGCUAUUUUGUUGUUUCUGAGUUUGCUUUGUGGCGGAUAUGUUUUGUCAAAGUGGGCAUGGUGUGACUGGAAAUGUCACUCUAAAUUUGCUGAUUUAAAACAAUUGACUGCCUUCUAGCAAAUAAGACAAAGUGAGCUAGUCCCAUCAUGCAGUACAAAAAACCACAUGUCUGUCCGUUUCUCUUGGAACUUUCUGUGUUCUUCUUGAAUUGACCACACCUCUUAGCCACCAGAGCCGCGUUUGCCAGGUUAGCUACGUUAGCUAGCUGCAUUUCCCCAGCCGCCAUCUUCCUGAUUUUCCUGGUUCUCGGGUGGUUGUUCGUUCAUACCUGUCACGUUGUUCUCCAGCUCUCCCCCUUCAUUUUCAUUGUCAAUAGAUUUACGUUUCUUUUUUGCAAUAAAUCGAUCCAUGUCGACCAGACUGCAAAAUUAGCUAGUAGCAAACUGAUAUGUGUAGGUCGCUGUAGCUGAGCAGGUAUGUUCUAUUUCGGUAUUUCUGUUAAACAGCUGCGCUACACUGCCAUCUAUCUGCCGUCCAGGGAACAAUAGAUAUAUUCAAUGAAGUGAUUCAGGCCUGCAUUAAACACAUUGAAUCGAAGUUGUAUCAUUGUUAUGUAUUAUGAAUGGAAAAUAGGUAAAUCACUGCAAAUUAAGGGAUGCGGCCCGUGAGCCACACAAUGAGUACCACUGCCCUAAGGUUAGAGGCCACACGGUCUCCUGCAAUGGAACCAGUAGGUUUCCAGAGGGGACUCGAACAUCUUAUUGAUAAGGGAAUAGAUGUAAAGGUGGUCACAACAGACAGAUCGUUCUCCAUUCGAAAGAUAAUGAGAGAGUCCUAUCCGGACAUUGAACAUCCAAUUUGAGACCAGGCAUACAUGUAAAGGUCAGUAGACUGUAAAGACAUCCACAGAUGACACAAUCUCUAUUGCACUCCACACUGCUCAGCGUUCAACAUCAUAGUGCCUUUCAAGCUCAUCACUAAGCUAAAGACCCUGGGAUUAAACACCUCCCUCUGCAACUGGAUCCUGAACUUCCUGACGGACUGCCCACAGGUGGUGAGGGUAGCCAACAACACAUCUCCCACACUGACCCUCAACACGGGGGCCCCUCAGGGGUACGUGCUUAGUCCUCCUGUACUCACUGUUCAUCCACGACUGAGUGGCCUCACACGACUCCAACACCAUUAUUAAGAUUGCAGACGACACGACAGUGGUAGGCCUGAUCACCCACAACAAUGAGAUGGCCUAAAGGAAGUUGAUCGUGGACUACAGGAAACAGAGGUCAGAGCACAUCCGCAUCGACGGGCUGUAGUGGAGCAGGUCAAGUUCCUCGGUGUCCAUAUCACUAAGGAAUUAUCAUGGCCCAACAAUUAUCAUGGCCCGACAACGCCGCCUUCCCCCUCAGAAGGCUGAAAAGUUUAGACAUGGGCCCUCAACUCCUCAAAAAGUUUUACAGUUGCACCAUUGAGAGCAGCUUGACUGGCUACAUCACAGUUUGGUAGGGCAACUGCUUGGCAUCUGACCGCAAGGCGCUACAUCACUGUGACCGAGCUCCCUGCCAUUCAGGACCUCUAUACCAGGCGGUGUCAGAGAAAGGCCCUAAAAAUUGACAAGCGGUACCGAUGCACCAAGUCUGGAACCAACAGGACCCUGAACAGCUUCUACCCCCAAGUCAUAAGACUGUUAAAUAGUUAAUCCAGGUAGCUAUUGGUUAACUAUCUGCAUUGACCCUUUUUUGUACUAACUCUUUUGACUCAUCACAUAUGCUGCUGCUACUGUUUAUCAUCUAUCCUGUUGCCUAUUCACUUUAUCCCCAUCUACAGUAUAUGUACAUAUCUACCUCAAUGUUGGGCUCCCGCAUAGUGCAGCGGUCUAAGGCACUGCAUCUCAGUGCCAGAGGCAUCACUACAGUCCCUGGUUUGAUUCCAGGCUGUAUCACAACCGGCCGUGAUUGGGAGUCCCAUAAGGAGACGCACAAUUGGCCCAGCAUUGUCUGGGUUUGGCCAGGAUAGCCCGUCAUUGUAAACAAGAAUUUGUUCUGAACUGACUUGCCUAGUUAAAUAAAGGUUAAAUAAAUACCUAAAUAAGUACCCCUGCACCUCAAUUACCUCGUACUCCUGCACAUCGACUCAGUACUGGUACCCAGUAUAUAUAGCCAAGUUAUCAUUAAUCAUUGUGUAUUUAUUCCUUGUGUUAUUUCUUUCUAUUGUUUCAAUUUUUUUCACUGCAUUGUUGGGAAGGGCCAAUAAGUAAGUAUUUCACUGUUAGUCUACACCUGUUGUUUAUGAAGCAUGUGACAAAUAAUCUAUUUAAAUUUUAUUUGACCUUAUACUGUGGGUGAAGAGUAUCUGCAAUCAUCUCUGGUGGAGUUGUAGCUUAUGUGGAGGAGUUAGAGGUAAAUACAUAAAUCAAUAGUGUAACUGUAGAAAAACAACCCCACUCAUGUCUCACUCCCCUCAGCUGGUCUCAGACCACUUUGAAGUGUUUGUGACAGUAUUACCCACCCCCCACUGGUGCCAAGAGGUCUAGGGCCAUAAAUCUGCCCUGUCUAUCAGGAGCCAACAAUCUUCUCACCCUGACAGCCACAUCUCCAUUUCCCAGAACGGUGUGCAGAUAUCAACAAUGCUUGUCUGUUGAACUCAUGCCUGUUUGUGAUCAAAUGUCAUUUUCAGGAGUUGAAGUGCAGGUUCAGGUCAAUGCUCCGUCACAAAUAAAUAAAAUAACAUGUGUGGGGUCUAUUGCUGGGAAGUGGACGGAGUGGAACACCACUGUUACCAUGGAGCGCUAACAGAGGACCAGCAGAGGAAGAAGAGGUAACUGCAGGAAGAUUCACCAACCUACAAAGCCCUGUACUCUCUGGUCAUGGACAAACGUCUGCCGAAUGAUCUCGAUCAGAUGGCACUGUUCAAGCACACAGGAACACUUGAGGUAUUUCACAGUUCUGUGUUGAAAUACUGCCAAAAGCGUCUCUACUUCAGACUACAGCUUGAAAGCCCGUACCCAGUUGACAGUUUUGGACCACAAUGAGAAUCAGAACCGGAAUAGAGAACAAGCCUCAACCAUUGCUGAUACAACAUUGUUUACCCUAAACAGUCAACGUUGGAUUGCCCGGCCAAUAUACCAGCCAACCAGGAAUGACCUGAUUGAGCGCGUCCUCAUGGACAAAUUAGUGAAAAAGCGGGAGCCAAAAUCCUGUGGAAGCGGCUGUCGUCUGGCUGCCAACAGCCCCCAUCCCAAACCCCGGCAAGGAGGAGGUUACUGCAGCACACACAUCAAGACUCAAGGACAUUGGGGGCUUUUCUGACCCCCCCCAACCUAAUAUGAAUACACUCCAUUGUAAUAUAAUUUGUUUGCAUCUUAUCCUUAACAUUCUGCAUCUAUAGCAUUUUAUACAAAUCCAUCUAAUGUAGGCAACUACUGCAAAUAAAAGCACUGCCAUACCUACUUCAUACUGUCUAUUUUAAAUUUCGUUGAUGUGAAUUUUGAGAAUGCCUUGUCUAUACUGUGUAUUGCCUGUUGUUUUAUUUAACCAGGCAAAUCAGUUAAGAACAAAUUCUUAUUUACAAUGACGGCCUAUCCCGGCUCAUCGAUUGUCAUGUCAUUUACAUAGGUAUACACUGUGAUUUGUUGGGUGUUACCAAUUUACCUUCCGUAUUAAAAUGUUACUGAUACAAUUCUUUGAUCUGACUGCUUUAUUUC
Salvelinus fontinalis (brook trout) is the source of this 8320-nucleotide long non-coding RNA. RefSeq lists it as uncharacterized. NCBI's taxonomy places the organism in Eukaryota, Metazoa, Chordata, Actinopteri, Salmoniformes, Salmonidae. The record is from RefSeq and is a predicted model, not a curated record. The transcript has 3 exons.